This 124-nucleotide small nucleolar RNA is filed under the name Pelecanus crispus (Dalmatian pelican). RNAcentral's name for it is "Small nucleolar RNA SNORA71". It matches the Rfam family "Small nucleolar RNA SNORA71". From Rfam's summary of the family: The members of this family belong to the H/ACA class of snoRNAs which bind a number of proteins (including dyskerin, Gar1p and Nop10p) to form snoRNP complexes. This class of snoRNAs are thought to guide the sites of modification of uridines to pseudouridines by forming direct base pairing interactions with substrate RNAs. The record is from Rfam by way of RNAcentral. Lineage: Eukaryota; Metazoa; Chordata; Aves; Pelecaniformes; Pelecanidae.
ACCUGCAUUCACAAGGGGUUGAGGUCUCACCCAUGACUCGGUCGUUGACAAUGCAGGGAGAGGACCUCCAAAAAUGUUUGGUGGGUUCGAUCCCGUCCCUCCCAAACCCUGUAGCUUUCAGGCA